RNAcentral lists this ribosomal RNA (853 nucleotides) under uncultured bacterium. Its description in RNAcentral is "bacterial SSU rRNA". It matches the Rfam family "Bacterial small subunit ribosomal RNA", at positions 8 to 848 of the family's 1533-position model. The record is from RNAcentral.
AGAGUUUGAUCCUGGCUCAGGAUGAACGCUAGCGACAGGCUUAACACAUGCAAGUCGAGGGGCAGCGGGGAGGUAGCAAUACUUCCGCCGGCGACCGGCGCACGGGUGAGUAACACGUAUGGAACCUGCCCGUAGCAGGGGGAUAAGCGGAAGAAAUUCCGUCUAAUACCGCGUAAUAACUCCGAGAGGCAUCUCCUGGGGUUUAAAGGGUAACACCGGCUACGGAUGGCCAUGCGGCGCAUUAGCUAGUUGGCGGGGUAACGGCCCACCAAGGCGACGAUGCGUAGGGGUUCUGAGAGGAAGGUCCCCCACACUGGUACUGAGACACGGACCAGACUCCUACGGGAGGCAGCAGUGAGGAAUAUUGGUCAAUGGGCGCGAGCCUGAACCAGCCAAGUCGCGUGAGGGAAGACGGUCCUAUGGAUUGUAAACCUCUUUUGUCGGGGAGCAAAAGACGCCACGCGUGGCGUUCCGAGAGUACCCGAAGAAAAAGCAUCGGCUAACUCCGUGCCAGCAGCCGCGGUAAUACGGAGGAUGCGAGCGUUAUCCGGAUUUAUUGGGUUUAAAGGGUGCGCAGGCGGAAGAUCAAGUCAGCGGUAAAAUUGAGAGGCUCAACCUCUUCGAGCCGUUGAAACUGGUUUUCUUGAGUGAGCGAGAAGUAUGCGGAAUGCGUGGUGUAGCGGUGAAAUGCAUAGAUAUCACGCAGAACUCCGAUUGCGAAGGCAGCAUACCGGCGCUCAACUGACGCUCAUACACGAAAGUGUGGGUAUCGAACAGGAUUAGAUACCCUGGUAGUCCACACAGUAAACGAUGAAUACUAAUUGUUCGGGGGAAAAUGAUUCCCUGAGUGAUA